GUGAGAAGGGCACAGGGUUCUAAGUCAGUGGCUACAAAGUCUAGAGUCUGUACCCUAACCCGAGCGCUGAGCACACAGUAUCUCGUUUAACAGUCCAGCCACAGACCUGUGAGGCAGUGACCUUAUUCAUUUUACAGAUGAAGAAACGAGCAGAAAUGCGCAUAUCUGGUGAAUGGCAGGACUGGGGAUGUACUCUAACGCAGCUGCCCUUACCUCUCCCGCGUGUGCCUACUUUCAGUGAGGGCAGCGGGGACCCAGAGCAGUGACUAGAGGGAGGAUGGUGUGGGUGUCUGGUUAUCCCACGUCUCGGCUCUGCUUCGCGACUUCACCUGACGCCCCAGCGGGAGCUGCGUUCCCGGCUACGCGCCGCGGCCUCCCCCACCUCAUUGGCCAGGGUGGGGCACGUGCCCUCCGCGCAGCCAAUGGGGCGAGGGGGCGGAGCGACUGGGGCGGACCUGGGACCGCACGGCGCCGGGAGGGAAGCCCCCGCGCAGAGCGCGCCACCGCCUGCGUCCCUGUGAAGCGGAGUGCAGGUCACUGCCCGGAAGAAAGAGGGAGUUGGUGGCUUGAGCCUUUUGAAAGAGAAGGGCUGUGGCUAAGAUCUGGGAGCAGAUGGAGGAGAAGUGGCACAGAGGCAGGGCAGGGGCCAGGGGCCUGCCUGGGAAUACACCUUGACCCAAAGAAGGGACAGAUGGCUGUCAGGUGCUGGGAGAGGCUGAUGGAACAGCACUGAGGGGGAGGAGCAAGAUGGCCUCUUUCUUCCCUGCAAAACUGACAGGGCAGCUGCCACCUGUACUUGGACGCCUUCUCAUGAAGCCUGGGAUGUGAUUCCUCCUCCUCCAGGCUCUUUCCAGUGGGGCACUGUACCUCCUGGAGCUGAAGUGUGCUAGUAGAAAUGAGGUGGUCUAGGCACAGCAUGGACCUCAGAUCACCCACACCUUGUUUUCACCCAUUUUCAAUGAUUCCUGUCCAAGUUGCAUGGAUGUCCUCACCACAAUCUGAUAGCUGGGCUGGAGACUGGGACAGAGAUGCCUCCUUCAUGGUUCCCUGCACACACACAACCCUCUGUCCUGAGCAGUUCCUCUCCCAAGCAUCCCAGUGAGCCCAGCAGCUAAGGUUAUCUCACCUCCCCAGCCUGGCCCUGGGCCAGCAGGAGGGGCUCAGCCAUGUGUAGGGGAGACAGGACUUGCUGAAGCGGACAGAUUUCCCACAUGCUCCCAUAUGGGAGCCAUUGUAACAGCCAGGAGUGUUGAUUCCUGGGGAAGAGAGUCUGCCUUUGGCCAUGUGACAGGGUUUGGGGCUCUGGGCCUUUCCCCUCAAUAUCUGUGACAGAGGCUGGCCCACCUCCUGCCCACAGGCCAUCUCACCCAGUGUGAGAACAGGACCCCCACUCCAACCGGGCCUGGACACUGAGAGGUGGGCCCCAGCAGCCACUUGCCAGGCCUCCUGGCCCAGGGCCGCCCCCAGCACUGCUACCUGCACCGACUUCUCCCCAAGCAACCGAACACUCUGCCUCCAGGGCCUGUGCACAGCGCUCCAACUCCAGCUUCUCUCCUUGUAACUGCUGCAGCUGCUCCAGGCAGGCCCCAAGCCACUGGUCACUCUGACCCAGCUCUUCCAAGAGUCUCUUGUUCACCUGUGAAGACCCUCAUUCCACCCAGAGUCAUGGCUUAGCCUCAGGGCCAUGGGGCUCACCUGACUGAGAUCUAUCUGCUCAAGCUAGCCCACAGGCCUUUACUGACGCAGCCCCCUCCUCCCAGCGUUCCUGACCUCCACGUCCUCUGAGACUCAACCCUUCCAGGACGCCUCUGACCACCCAGCCCACAGGGGCUCCUCCGACUCCAGACCAAAUGAUUUAAGUCUGGACAGUACCUGGGUGUCCACCAGCAGAGGGUGCUGUUUCAGUGGAGUCCCUCAGAAUCCUCCAAGGACGAGGGCCCAGGCUCACCUGCUGCUCUGCCCUCCUGGCACAGAUAAGCACAGCCUGGCUCAGUUCAUGCCCUGUGUUCCCUGCAGGGCUGAGCCUGCCAGCUGUCUUGACCCACCUGGGUGAGCAUCAGCGGCCGCUCCCACAGGUGGGUUGUAUCCUGAGCCUAUGCAGGGUUCUCAGCUGCCCCCAUCAAGACUCUCUCUGAGCCCUGAAGUGCCUGGGUCCCGAUGCCAUCCCAUCUCUGCUUCUCAGCAUCUCCUGCAGCUACGCUCAGUCCAGGGGGCGCCUCCCAGUUUCCAACCACAGUGUUAUGACCCUGAACAAGUUCUUCCCUACCCUCUGGGCUGUUUUCCCAUCUGAAGCAGAAGAGAAGCCAGUUGGGUGAUCACAAGCUCUUUCCAAAUGUUAGGGAGAGAAGCAUCCCCUCUGGGCUGAACAGAAGCCCCUGCACUGCCCUCCUUCCCUGGCUGCUGCUCCAAGACUGAUGACCCGGAUGAAGUACAGGGCAGGGCUGGACACGGGCCCUGCCAUGCACCCACUUGGAGGAGGGCUCUGGUCAUCCCUACUCCAGGGGUCCUCAGGCUGGGCUCCAGGUCAAGGGGCUGUCAGCUCAUCUUGUCGAAAAACCACUGGGCCUUUUCCACUUCUAUCUGCAGUAGCAGGGUACUGGAGGCAGAAGAGACUGUCUGCCCAUCCUCUGCCACCCCACUCCUCCCCGACUCCUGGCACCCUCACUUGUCUUCCAUGUCCUGGUCUGGCCUCCUCCACUCCUUCUGUCCCUGGGAUCCCCAUAGUUGGUGUCUCUCCUGCUCCAGGCAGGCCAGGGAGCAAUCCACCUACUUGGGGGAGGGCUAGAGGCAGCAUGAGCCACUGGAGACGGCAGGACCAGCCUCAAAACAUGCAUCCCCCACCCUGGGCAGGGCAGUGUCUGCAACCCCUGAUAAAGCAGGCUGACUCCACGAGGUCCUGCCUGCUUCACCAGCUGUGAUAAGCCCAGCUGGGGGCCCAGCAUGGACCUGUGCCCUGACUUGUACACAUGGGACUGUGCCUCAAGGCUCUGGGAAGCUGCCCAGCUGUUAUCACUACAGGUUCCAGAUGUACAACCCUUCACCUCCAGCUGGACCUGAGACACAUCACCUCUCCAGCCCAGCUCCUGAUGGCUUUGGUGCUCCAGCAAGAGUACAGGGGAUGCUGCUGUGGAAUGCUAGAGAGUGGCAGGCAUGUCAACUGGGUCCCCAGCCUGGUAGGGAAUAAUGGCUCUAGGAGGGUCAGCUAUGGACUGAGACCCCCAGGUCACUAAAGGCUGAGGUAUCUGGGCCAUCAUAGGGUGGUACUGUCCAUAUCCUCACUUGGGUCAGGGAUGCUGGGUACCUCCCAUAGGAGCCUCAGUUUGCAUAGCCCUCUCUUCCUCCCUGAGGAUAGAAGCUUCACCAGGGGUGGCUGGGCUUCUAAGGAAACUCUUCUAUCCAUUGAGUUAAAACUAGCCACCUCCUUCCCUCUGACUCUUGAGGGGAGUGGGGAGGCUACAGGUUCUCUGGCCCUUUCUUUGCUUCUGUCCACAGUUCCCAGCCACACCAGGUAAUGCACCACACACCUCCAGAGGUGCCAUUCACAGAGAUGACACUUUGAACAUGGCAGCCCUGUUGGGGAAUCAAUUCCCGUCUGUCUCCUUUGGAUGCCCCAGACCCCGACAAGACUUCUUCCUGAGAACAUGAUACCAGACGUGGGCACCAGCCCUGAGCAUUCUGGAGUUUUCAGCCUAGUAAGGGGAACUUGCUAGCUCUGAGGACCACGCUGGGGCUGUGAACAAGCAAGGAAGACUGGGGAAGAGGAUCAGGGCCUGACUUUCCGCUUCAGAGCCAGCGGCUCCCAUCGGGCCCUGCCGAUUCCCAGCUUGCGUUCCCUCCCGUUUCUGCAGCACCUGUGCUUGCUUGGAUGGGGCCUCCAGUGCCACCCAGAGGUGGCCAGCCAGCUUGGCCCACUGCCACCUGCUCUCUGCCAGCCACACCCACUGGUCUUUCUCUGACCACCUCCAGGCCCGCUCAGGGGUCCUAUCUGAGCACCUGCCAGGGAAAAAGGAGCCAGGCUUUGGCCCGAGCCCCAGGGACUGCUGUGCCCAUCUUCCCUACACCCAUCUGCAUCCUUCAGUGGGCCUCAGUGAGCAGACACAGUCCAGUGGCCAGAGGUGACAGGAAUGCUGGGGAGAGCAGGCAGGGCCAGGCAUCAGGUCCAUGGGGCUCUGCCUCAGUGGGUCCUGAGAGCAGGACAGAGGGGAGACCCUGGAGUUGGGGCACACCUGCCCUCCCAGAGCACCAGCCCCUCCUCAGAUGUAGAAACCGAGGCCCUGGGGCCAAGUGUGCAUUUAAACCCUUUAACUACAACCUUUGGUACAAGAUUCUCCCUGGGGAUUCAGAUCUCAAAUAAGCACUAGCCCCAACCUCACUAAACAAUUCUCAGUUCGAACAGUUUCCAUGAUCUGUGGGUACUGACUCUGUCCUGGCCACUUGCUGACCAACGGGUUCAUUUGAUCCUCCCAGGUUUGGGGUGGGGGCCUGAAGCUCGGAGGGGAAGUCAGUUGCCCUGGGUCAUGCAGGUAGUCAGUCCACUGUGAACCAGGCCAUGUUCCUCCACCCCUGCUGCUCUCCUUCCCAGUAUGGGAGUCUAGAAACGGCAAAAGUCAGGGGAAAAUUGGGGGGGGGACACUGUAUUUUACUGUAUGUGGGGGGUCAGAAGCCCUCAGGUUAAGUCACUGUUCCAGUACCUCUCUGGCUUUCAUAGCUUCAGCUGUAAGAUGGGGCCCCUGAGCCAUAACUGACUUGCCCACUCCUCGCAUUCCCUGAUGCAUUCCCUGCUCAGGUUUAUACCACCACCCACCAGGCCCUCUACCUUCCACACACCUUGACUCUCUCCUUUCCCCUGACUCCAGGCUCAGGUUCCUGAGCUCCCUGCUGAGCUGUCUCCCCAGCAUUUCACCACCACACAAGGCGUCUCCAAAAUGGAACACGAGGACUGGGCCCGGCCCCCACCUCCCACGCCCUGGCACGGCACCCCCAGGUGCACUCUGCCUAGAUGCUCUGUCUUUCCCAUUUAGAGGCAGGGGCUCUCUACGGGCAGCCCCGAGCCCCUACUGAGAACCUGAGCUUUCCUGACUUGGCUGGGGCUGGGUGCUCAUGGUCUGCUGGAGUGGGAGUGGCACAGGCCAGGCUGUUGAGCUUUCGAAGCCAGCACAGAGGAAAACACAGCCACCGAGUCCUAUGGGAGCACAAGGAAGGGAACCUGAUCAUCACUUGGGGGUCCCAGGAAGCCUUUCCAGAGAGGUGACCCUGGGGCUAAGUUCUGAAGGUGAAUUAUCCGCCCCUGGAAAAGGCAAAGAUAGAUGUGGGAGACAGAAGAGAGCAAGGCCAGCAGGACGAAGAGGGGAUCAGAGAAGCUGGGACCUAGAGGGGGAGGUGAGCGGAGCCAGGAGCCCAGGGGGGCAAAAGGGAAAUCAAAGGCAACAAGAGUUGCUGUGGGGCUCAGGUGGCUGGUGGCAGGUGCAGGGCAGGGACAUUUCCUUGUCCUCAACCCACACAGAAAAGAGUUGGCAGGCACAUGGGUUGAGGCCUGGACAAAGAACUUGGGCCUGAUGGGCAGAGAGCGUGGAGCAAACCUCCUCUGAAUGUGGCCCUGGCCCCUGAUCCCUCCAGCUACCAGUUGCCAAGGUCUCAGCCAACCAGCACUGGAGGGCUGAGGGAGGUGAGGUGGGAUGAGUUGGGGAUGGGGGAAUUACUUCACUGUUUCCAAGUGGCUCAUACUCUGUCUCUCUUCUAGGUGUGAGUUCUUUUAGGAACAAAAAGACAAAGAAUGAAGCUCUAAUGGAAGAAUUUCAGGCAGGAUAGCUGCUGAACUACAGUUUUUAGAGAGGGAGCCAGGAGAUGGCUCCUGUUCUACUUCCGAAAAAGAGUGCUCUGCCUCUUUACUGGGAGGAAAGGACUUCUGGGUUCUCGGUGGUGGGAGGGCUGGUGGGAAGACAAGCCCGACUUACCUCCUCAGAACUUAGCACUUUGUCAGGGCUGGGGACAGGAGCCCCUCUGAGCUCCUCUGCUUUCAGCUACCCAAGCCAUCCUGGCUUCCAGGAGCCAUGGAAACCGCGGGCAACACGAAGUGGUAGGAGGAAGAGGAGACACCGGAGUCCUCUCACCUUGUCUUACUGGAUGAAACCCUUGGAUGAAACCUGGCUGAUG
Vicugna pacos (alpaca) is the source of this 6153-nucleotide non-coding RNA. NCBI's taxonomy places the organism in Eukaryota, Metazoa, Chordata, Mammalia, Artiodactyla, Camelidae. The record is from RefSeq and is a predicted model, not a curated record.